UGGACGAAAGUCUGACGGAGCAACGCCGCGUGAGUGAAGAAGGUUUUCGGAUCGUAAAACUCUGUUUUCAGGGACGAAUGUGCAAUAUGUGAAUAAUGUGUUGUAAUGACGGUACCUGACAAGAAAGCCACGGCUAACUACGUGCCAGCAGCCGCGGUAAUACGUAGGUGGCAAGCGUUGUCCGGAAUUAUUGGGCGUAAAGCGCGCGCAGGUGGGAUAAUAAGUCUGAUGUUAAAGUUCGGGGCUCAACCCCGUGAAGCAUUGGAAACUAUUAUUCUUGAGUGCAGGAGAGGAAAGUGGAAUUCCUAGUGUAGCGGUGAAAUGCGUAGAUAUUAGGAGGAACACCAGUGGCGAAGGCGACUUUCUGGACUGUGUCUGACACUGAGGCGCGAAAGCCAGGGUAGUGAACGGGAUUAGAUACCCCGGUAAUCCUGGCCGUAAACGAUGGGUACUAGGUGUUGGGGGUAUCGACCCCUCCAGUGCCGGAGUUAACGCAAUAAGUACCCCGCCUGGGGAGUA
Molecule: ribosomal RNA, 519 nt
Filed under: uncultured bacterium
Lineage: Bacteria
Description: bacterial SSU rRNA
Rfam family: Bacterial small subunit ribosomal RNA
Source: RNAcentral